Molecule: long non-coding RNA, 240 nt
Filed under: Carica papaya (papaya)
Lineage: Eukaryota; Viridiplantae; Streptophyta; Magnoliopsida; Brassicales; Caricaceae
Description: long non-coding RNA (CPAP_LNC011235)
Source: RNAcentral
UUGUUUUGAUUUUAUACUAACCUUUGCAUCUGUGCCGAUGAUAUAGUGUGAUAUCCUUACUGGGCUAGUAUAGCUCAUCCUUUAUUUAACCAUUUCAGAUCAAGAGGACCGAGUUCAAAGCUUGAUCUGCAAGAAGAUUGGGAGUAGAUGUUAGAUACUUUCUAUUUUCCAUUACUUUUCUUAUUUCUCGUGUUUCUUUCAGAGUAUUCAUUUCGUAAUGUUGUUUAGUACUUUUAACUU